GAUAACCUCAAACAAUCAUAGUCUGGGAGAGGAUUCAAUCUGCUUUGUGAUCUGCCUCAUUAGGGACACCUCCAAAUAUGAAAGACUGGAAGAAAGUAUGCCAUGGGCUAUGUUAGUCCUGCUGUUGUCCUUUAUAGCUUUUUUUGACCUUCUCUCAAGGUUAAAAUUAGUAUUGGAGUCAAGCUUCUAAUUCAGAGAGAGGCUGGUCUGACCCAGAGCAGCCGUUCUGUUUCUCAGUGUGAAGCCUGGUCCAGUCAAUGGAGCCAGCCUUGCUGAGCUCAGCCCUUCUCAGGGCAGAUAUCCCCCAGGAAUCACUGACUCUGCUGUCCUUCCUACAGGCCAAAACUCAGUGAAUCACACUUCAGCUGCUAAUGUCAGGUUGUGAAAAGUUCCAUGCCUGAGGCUCCUCUGCUGUGCUGGUGAAACCUCUGCUGCUCCAUGUUGAUGCUGCUCCCUCGUGCCAUCCCCUGCUCACUGACACAAGACAAAAUGUGUCUGGGCAAGGAAUUGAUCUAAUGCAAUACCAUGUACUCCUUGGACAGAGAUGUUGACCUGAAGCUCCCUCUCAGAGAUCCCUUACAAAGAUACAUCCCAAAUUUCUGAAAAUUGAAGGACUUAUAUUUUUGGGAACUCCAAGGGUGAUUAGCUGUGAUGGAAGCAGCCAUACUGAAGACAACAAGGCCUCAUUUCAGUCAGUGCCAGCCAAAGCAGCCACUGUUUGGGAGUGCUGGGGCAGAGCUGAUCCCUGUGCCAGGGCUGCAAUCAUUGGGUGCUGGCAGAGAAAUGUUCCCUUGAAUUGUGACACAGCCAUUUUCAUCUCACAGGAUGAGAUACAGGAGAGGUCAGUGUAAUCACCAUAACCUACUCC
This 868-nucleotide long non-coding RNA is filed under the name Cyanistes caeruleus (blue tit). Its description in RNAcentral is "lncRNA (ENSCCEG00000011013.1)". Lineage: Eukaryota; Metazoa; Chordata; Aves; Passeriformes; Paridae. The record is from RNAcentral.